UCCAGACCUGGUAGAAAUAUCAGGGUCAACUGUAACCAGUAAGUCGCAGGUUCGAGUCCUGCCCGGGGAGCCA
RNAcentral lists this transfer RNA (73 nucleotides) under Candidatus Omnitrophota bacterium. Its description in RNAcentral is "tRNA-OTHER". Lineage: Bacteria; Pseudomonadati; Candidatus Omnitrophota. The record is from RNAcentral.